GCCCGGGUAGCUCAGUUGGUUGAGUGUCUGACUUUGGCUCAGGUCAUGGUCUUACGGUUCGUGAGUUCGAGUCCUGCGUUGGGCU
RNAcentral lists this transfer RNA (85 nucleotides) under Felis catus (domestic cat). It matches the Rfam family "tRNA". Rfam says of the family: Transfer RNA (tRNA) molecules are approximately 80 nucleotides in length. Their secondary structure includes four short double-helical elements and three loops (D, anti-codon, and T loops). The record is from Rfam by way of RNAcentral. Lineage: Eukaryota; Metazoa; Chordata; Mammalia; Carnivora; Felidae.